UAGGGAAUAUUGCGCAAUGGACGAAAGUCUGACGCAGCAACGCCGCGUGGGUGAUGAAGCAUUUCGGUGUGUAAAACCCUGUCAGUGGGGAAGAAACGUAUGGAGAGUAACUGCUCCAUGCCUGACGGUACCCACAGAGGAAGUCCCGGCUAACUCCGUGCCAGCAGCCGCGGUAAUACGGGGGGGACGAGCGUUGUUCGGAUUUACUGGGCGUAAAGGGCGCGUAGGCGGGUCUUCAAGUCGGUUGUGAAAACUGCCAGCUUAACUGGCAGCCUGCAUCCGAUACUGUUGAUCUUGAGUACAGGAGAGGAGAGUGGAAUUCCAGGUGUAGCGGUGAAAUGCGUAGAUAUCUGGAAGAACACCAGUAGCGGAAGGCGGCUCUCUGGACUGAUACUGACGCUCAAGCGACGAAGGCGUUAGGGGAGACAAACGAGGAUUAGACUACCGUGGUAGUCCGAAGACGGUAAACGAGUGGGUACUAGGU
This 484-nucleotide ribosomal RNA is filed under the name uncultured bacterium. RNAcentral describes it as "bacterial SSU rRNA". It matches the Rfam family "Bacterial small subunit ribosomal RNA", at positions 355 to 821 of the family's 1533-position model. The record is from RNAcentral.